This 1275-nucleotide ribosomal RNA is filed under the name metagenome. RNAcentral's name for it is "bacterial LSU rRNA". It matches the Rfam family "Bacterial large subunit ribosomal RNA", at positions 1672 to 2925 of the family's 2925-position model. The record is from RNAcentral.
CCAAAUAUCCCAAGGCGCUUAGAGAACCCUGCUUAAGGAACUCGCAAAAUGACACCGUAACUUCGGGAGAAGGUGUGCCCUCGUUACGUGAUCCGCAUACGCGGGGAGCGGAAGGGGGUUGCAGAGAAUCGGGGGUAGCGACUGUUUACCAAAAACACAGCACUCUGCGAAGUCGCAAGACGACGUAUAGGGUGUGAUGCCUGCCCGGUGCUGGAAGGUUAAAGAGAGGACUCAGCCGCAAGGCAAAGGUCCGAACUGAAGCCCCAGUAAACGGCGGCCGUAACAAUAACGGUCCUAAGGUAGCGAAAUUCCUUGUCGGGUAAGUUCCGACCUGCACGAAUGGCAUAACGACUUCCCCACUGUCUCGAGCAGGGACUCAGCGAAGUAGCACUAGGGGUGAAGAUACCCUUUACCCACGGCAGGACGGAAAGACCCCGUGAACCUUCACUACAGUUUGACAUUGAUUGACGAAGUGAUUUGCGUAGGAUAGGUGGGAGGCUUUGAAGUCGGGAUUCCGGUCCUGAUGGAGCCAACGUUGAAAUACCACCCUGAUCGGUUUGGCAAUCUAACCUACACCCGUGAGCCGGGUGGGGGACACUGUCUGAUGGGUAGUUUGACUGGGGCGGUCGCCUCCCAAAAAGUAACGGAGGCGCGCGAAGUUCCCCUCAGCGUGAUUGGAAACCACGCGUCGAGUGUAAACACAUAAGGGGGAUUGACUGCGAGGCCGACGAGCCGAGCAGGUACGAAAGUAGGUGUUAGUGAUCCGGUGGCUCCACAUGGAAGGGCCAUCGCUCAACGGAUAAAAGGUACUCCGGGGAUAACAGGCUUAUCACGUCCAAGAGUUCACAUCGACGACGUGGUUUGGCACCUCGAUGUCGGCUCAUCGCAUCCUGGGGCUGAAAUCGGUCCCAAGGGUUUAGCUGUUCGCUAAUUAAAGCGGUACGCGAGCUGGGUUCAGAACGUCGUGAGACAGUUCGGUCCCUAUCCGUCGUGGGCGCAGGAUACUUGAGAGGAGCUGACUUUAGUACGAGAGGACCGAGUUGGACGGACCGCUAGUGUUCCGGUUGUGGCGCCAGCCGCAUCGCCGGGUAGCUAUGUCCGGAAGGGAUAACCGCUGAAAGCAUCUAAGCGGGAAGCCCCCCUCGAGAUUAGGUAUCCCAAAUGCCGUCAAGGCACCAGAAGACCCCGCGUAGACUACGCGGUUGAUAGGCGCGAUGUGGAAGUGCAGCAAUGCACGCAGCUAACGCGUACUAAUCGGUCGGGCGGCUUGACCAC